UACGUAGGGUGCAAGCGUUGUCCGGAAUUAUUGGGCGUAAAGAGCGUGUAGGCGGCCUCGUAAGUCCGCUGUGAAAGUCCAGGGCUCAACCCUGGAAAGCCGGUGGAUACUGCGAGGCUAGAGUCCGGAAGGGGCGAGUGGAAUUCCUGGUGUAGCGGUGAAAUGCGCAGAUAUCAGGAGGAACACCAAUAGCGAAGGCAGCUCGCUGGGACGUGACUGACACUAAGGCGCGAAAGCGUGGGGAGCGAACAGG
This 253-nucleotide ribosomal RNA is filed under the name uncultured bacterium. RNAcentral's name for it is "partial 16S ribosomal RNA". It matches the Rfam family "Bacterial small subunit ribosomal RNA", at positions 524 to 776 of the family's 1533-position model. The record is from RNAcentral.